AGAGUUUGAUCAUGGCUCAGAUUGAACGCUGGCGGCGUGCUUAACACAUGCAAGUCGAGCGGUAACAGGCGUAGCAAUACGUGCUGACGAGCGGCGAACGGGUGAGUAAUGCUUUGGAAUCUGCCUAGUAGUGGGGAAUAACCUGGGGAAACUCAGGCUAAUACCGCAUACGACCCAAGGGUGAAAGCGGGGGAUCGCAAGACCUCGCGCUAUUAGAUGAGCCAAAGUCGGAUUAGCUAGUUGGUGGGGUAAAGGCCUACCAAGGCGACGAUCCGUAGCUGGUCUGAGAGGACGACCAGCCACACUGGAACUGAGACACGGUCCAGACUCCUACGGGAGGCAGCAGUGGGGAAUAUUGGACAAUGGGGGCAACCCUGAUCCAGCGACGCCGCGUGUGUGAAGAAGGCCUGCGGGUUGUAAAGCACUUUUAGUGGGGAUGAAAAGUCCAAGGUUAAUACCUUUGGAUCUUGACCUAACCUACAGAAAAAGCACCGGCUAACUCUGUGCCAGCAGCCGCGGUAAUACAGAGGGUGCAAGCGUUAAUCGGAAUUACUGGGCGUAAAGCGUGCGUAGUCGGUUGUUUAAGUCGGAUGUGAAAUCCCCGGGCUCAACCUGGGAAUUGCAUUCGAUACUGGGCAGCUAGAGUUCGGCAGAGGGAAGUGGAAUUUCCGGUGUAGCGGUGAAAUGCGUAGAUAUCGGAAGGNAACAUCAGUGGCGAAAGCGACUUCCUGGNCCAGAACUGACGAUCAGGCACGAAAGCGUGGGGAGCAAACAGGAUUAGAUACCCUGGUAGUCCACGCCAUAAACGAUGA
RNAcentral lists this ribosomal RNA (812 nucleotides) under uncultured bacterium. RNAcentral's name for it is "bacterial SSU rRNA". It matches the Rfam family "Bacterial small subunit ribosomal RNA", at positions 8 to 812 of the family's 1533-position model. The record is from RNAcentral.